Manihot esculenta (cassava) is the source of this 2394-nucleotide RNA transcript. It is a transcript of the gene named RNA-binding KH domain-containing protein RCF3, with no coding region annotated. The transcript has 9 exons. Lineage: Eukaryota; Viridiplantae; Streptophyta; Magnoliopsida; Malpighiales; Euphorbiaceae. The record is from RefSeq and is a predicted model, not a curated record.
UUACUCGCAUCACUUUCCUUUCUCUCUCUAUAAAUUACACGCGCCGCUCGCGCCUGAACAAAACAAACAAAAAGUCAAAUUAUCAGACACACACACCACAAGAACUCGCCUCUGUGUUUCAUCUUCUUCUUCUUUUACGUGUUCCUCUCUCUAUCUCUCUCUAUCCAAUCCGUUUCCAGAUCUGUAUCUCUCUAUGGCCGGCCAAAGGAAUGACUACGGCAAGAGAUCCAAUUCCCAUUCUGACUACGGCGGAGGCAAGCGGAGGAAUCCCGGCGACGAUCCUGACCAGCCGCGUACGAUUGGAAGCGACGACACCGUCUACCGCUACUUAUGCCCACUGAGGAAGAUUGGGAGUAUAAUUGGGCGAGGCGGAGAGAUAGCUAAGCAAUUGAGGUCGGAGAGUAAAUCUAGCAUUAGAAUUAGCGACUCUAUGCCAGGGUUUGAGGAGCGCAUUGUUACCAUUUACAGCUCUUCUGAGGAGACUAAUCUGUUUGGAGAUACUGGCGAGUUUGUUUCCCCUGCUCAGGAUGCUCUUUUCAUGGUUCAUGAUAGGAUUGUUGCUGAGGACCUGCCGCCUAAUAAUAAUAACGAUGGGGAUGAUGAAUUUGGGGAUCCUCAACAGGUUACUGUUAGAAUGCUUGUGCCUUCUGAUCAGAUUGGUUGUGUUAUUGGGAAAGGUGGACAAGUGAUUCAGAAUAUAAGGAGCGAAACCCGCGCUCAGAUUCGUAUUCUGAAGGAUGAGCAUCUGCCUCCUUUGGCUUUGAGUAGUGAUGAGCUUCUCCAGAUUAUUGGAGAGCCUGCCAUUGUUAGAAAGGCUCUUUAUCAAGUUUCUUCACGCCUUCAUGAGAAUCCAUCUCGAUCCCAGCACCUUCUUUUGUCUUCUUCAACCAACAUGUAUCAAUCCGGUGGCAUGGUGAUGACCGCAAAUGCUGGUGCCCCUCUAAUGGGUCUUUAUGGAAAUUAUAAAGGUGGAUGGUCAUCAUCUUUUUACUCUGACCAGAGAGAUGAAGCUUCUGCUAAAGAGUUCUCUCUUCGUAUGGUGUGCCCCAUUGGAAAUAUUGGAGGUGUCAUUGGAAAAGGUGGUGGUAUCAUUAAGCAAAUUCGUCAGGAAUCCAGGGCUUCCAUCAAAGUUGAUAGUUCAGGUGCUGAAGGUGACGACUGUAUUAUAUUUAUAUCAGCAAAGGAGUUUUUUGAAGACCAAUCUCCAACACUCAAUGCAGCACUGCGAUUGCAACCACGAUGCAGUGAAAAAAGUGAAAGGGAAUCAGGUGAUUCUGUAAUUACCACUCGUCUACUUGUGCCAAGGUCACAAAUUGGUUGCCUUAUGGGUAAAGGAGGGGCUAUUAUUUCUGAAAUGAGGAGUAUAACAAGGGCAAGCAUUCGGAUUCUCUCAGAGGACAAUCUUCCCAAGGUUGCUUCUGAGGAUGAUGAGAUGGUGCAGAUCACCGGCAGCCUAGAUGUUUCUAGCAAUGCUCUUUUACAUGUUAUUUUGAGGUUGAAAGCCAAUUUAUUUGGAAGGGAUGGAGCACUAAGUGCAAUUCCACCAACUCUUCCAUAUAUUCCCGUUUCAAUGGAUGUAUUAGAUGGGCAAAAAUAUGGGAGCCGAGAUAAUCAAUCACGUGGACGUGGAUACUCUUCAGCUGGUGCAUACAGUUCUCGUGAUGUGCCCCCAAUUGAAAAUUAUGGGAAUAGUGGUAGUUCACUGAGCGGUGGUGAGAGUGGGUAUGGCGGCUUAUCUUCUGGUCGUUCAGGGUUAUCUGGUCAAAACUCAAUUAACCAAAGAAAGCAUCAUGGAUAUUAGUCCCAUUGUAUGACGAACAGGUUUGUUUCUUAAGCUUUGGGGGGAAUGAUGAGGAAAGCUACAGUUUGCUUUGGAGGUAAUUUUGCAUAAUGCUCUUUGAGUUGAUUCACAGACUGUUGACAUGGUGAGGAUAUGACUCAAGGGCAGGUUUGAUUUAUCAGGUUUCCCUUGGCAUCAAGAGAAAGGAGGGAAACGUUGUGAAGACGUUUGCAUUAGUUGAUGAAGAUGUUCAUGAUGAGAAGGUUAAGCAAACCAGGUGGGUCUAUUCCAUUCCCAUAAUAACUAAUCCUCUUCAAAACUCUGAAAACUAAUUGAAAUUAGUGCCACUUUACUAAUGCAGCAUCAUUUUGCAUUAGAAAAAAUAAUAAAGAGAAAAAGUAGCACACCUUAUUUUAAUUGUUACGACUAAUUAUUAGUAUCCAUUUGUUUGAUAUUCCUCCAUUGACUUAACUAUUUAUUCAGAUUUUUUUCAUAUAUUUAUUUUAUGUAUAAAUAAAUUAUACUAUCUCGGCCAACUGAAAAUGCCAAAUGGCUUUGCCUCAUGAAUACUCAAUGCUCAUGUAAGAGAAAAUAAUGCAAUGUAUUGGAGAUAA